UACAGAGGUGGCAAGCGUUGUUCGGAAUUACUGGGCGUAAAGGGCGCGUAGGCGGUUCGAUAAGUCUCGCGUGAAAUCCCCCGGCUCAACUGGGGAACUGCGCGGGAAACUGUCGAGCUUGAGUUCGGGAGAGGGAAGCGGAAUUCCGGGUGUAGCGGUGAAAUGCGUAGAUAUCCGGAGGAACACCGGUGGCGAAGGCGGCUUCCUGGACCGACACUGACGCUGAGGCGCGAAAGCCAGGGGAGCAAAC
Molecule: ribosomal RNA, 250 nt
Filed under: uncultured bacterium
Lineage: Bacteria
Description: partial 16S ribosomal RNA
Rfam family: Bacterial small subunit ribosomal RNA
Source: RNAcentral